UCAUCAUGCCCCUUAUGACCUGGGCUACACACGUGCUACAAUGGCUGGUACAACGAGUCGCAAGCCGGUGACGCAAGCUAAUCUCUGAAAGCCAGUCUCAGUUCGGAUUGUAGGCUGCAACUCGCCUACAUGAAGUCGGAAUCGCUAGUAAUCGCGGAUCAGCACGCCGCGGUGAAUACGUUCCCGGGCCUUGUACACACCGCCCGUCGCACCACGAGAGUUUGUAACACCCGAAGUCGGUGAGGUAACCGUAAGAGCCAGCCGCCUAAGGUGGGAUAGAUGAUUGGGGUGAAGUCGUAACAAGGUAGCCGUAUCGGAA
RNAcentral lists this ribosomal RNA (319 nucleotides) under uncultured bacterium. Its description in RNAcentral is "bacterial SSU rRNA". It matches the Rfam family "Bacterial small subunit ribosomal RNA", at positions 1190 to 1510 of the family's 1533-position model. The record is from RNAcentral.